GGGCAAUUAGCUCAGUGGUUAGAGCGCCUGCUGCAUAAGCAGGUGAGUCCAGUUCGAUUCUGGAAUUGCCCG
This 72-nucleotide transfer RNA is filed under the name Fulvia fulva CBS 131901. Its description in RNAcentral is "tRNA-Met (CAT) (tRNA-Met-CAT-5-1)". It matches the Rfam family "tRNA". From Rfam's summary of the family: Transfer RNA (tRNA) molecules are approximately 80 nucleotides in length. Their secondary structure includes four short double-helical elements and three loops (D, anti-codon, and T loops). Further hydrogen bonds mediate the characteristic L-shaped molecular structure. tRNAs have two regions of fundamental functional importance: the anti-codon, which is responsible for specific mRNA codon recognition, and the 3' end, to which the tRNAs corresponding amino acid is attached (by aminoacyl-tRNA synthetases). tRNAs cope with the degeneracy of the genetic code in two manners: having more than one tRNA (with a specific anti-codon) for a particular amino acid; and 'wobble' base-pairing, i.e. permitting non-standard base-pairing at the 3rd anti-codon position. Lineage: Eukaryota; Fungi; Ascomycota; Dothideomycetes; Mycosphaerellales; Mycosphaerellaceae. The record is from RNAcentral.